RNAcentral lists this ribosomal RNA (436 nucleotides) under Melibe viridis. RNAcentral describes it as "partial 16S ribosomal RNA". It matches the Rfam family "Bacterial large subunit ribosomal RNA", at positions 1828 to 2597 of the family's 2925-position model. Lineage: Eukaryota; Metazoa; Mollusca; Gastropoda; Nudibranchia; Dendronotidae. The record is from RNAcentral.
AGCUUGAGGAAAAUAUCUCAAGUGAGAUCUGCUCACUGCAAAAUAGUAAAGAGCCGCGGUAAUUUGACCGUGCUAAGGUAGCGUAAUAAGUUGUCCUGUAAUUUAGGACCGGUAUGAAGGAAUAAAUGGGUUUUAGCUGUCUCUCUCUAACUCAAUAAAACUUGCUUUUAGGGUGAAAACGCCCUUGUGAAAACGAAGGACGAUAAGACCCUGGGAACUUAAUAAAAUUCGCUUGUCGGCACUUCCUUUUGGCUGGGGCGGUCCUGUUACAAUUUUAACCUAACAGAAAAAACACGAAGUAUUAAUGUCUGUAAGAAAAAGUUACCCCAGGGAUAACAGCGUAAUUUUAAAGUUUAGAUUUCGACCUCGAUGUUGGACUAGGCACUCCCUUGAGUCAGAAGCUUGAGAAGCGGCUCUGUUCGAGCCUUAAAAGCCU